AGAGUUUGAUCCUGGCUCAGGACGAACGCUGGCGGCGUGCUUAACACAUGCAAGUCUACGAGAAAGAGGUAGCGAUAUCUCAAGUAAAGUGGCGCAAGGGUGAGUAAUAUGUAAGUAAUCUACCUAUGGGUUCGGAAUAACGUCGAGAAAUCGGCGCUAAUACCGAAUAAUGCAGCGGCAUCGCAUGAUGAUGUUGUUAAAGUUGUCCCGACUUGUCGGGAUAACUCCUAUAGAUGAGCUUGCAUCUGAUUAGCUAGUUGGUAGGGUAAUUGCCUACCAAGGCUACGAUCAGUAGCUGGUCUGAGAGGAUGAUCAGCCACACUGGAACUGAGACACGGUCCAGACUCCUACGGGAGGCAGCAGUGAGGAAUAUUGGGCAAUGGACGGAAGUCUGACCCAGCAACGCCGCGUGGAGGAUGAAUGCCGUAAGGUUGUAAACUCCUUUUGAAGGGGACGAAUAUUCAAGUUCC
RNAcentral lists this ribosomal RNA (470 nucleotides) under uncultured bacterium. RNAcentral's name for it is "bacterial SSU rRNA". It matches the Rfam family "Bacterial small subunit ribosomal RNA", at positions 8 to 461 of the family's 1533-position model. The record is from RNAcentral.